AGAGGGGCUGCUCCUAGUACGAGAGGACCGGAGUGGACGAACCUCUGGUGUUCCGGUUGUCACGCCAGUGGCAUUGCCGGGUAGCUAUGUUCGGAAGCGAUAACCGCUGAAAGCAUCUAAGCGGGAAGCGCGCCUCAAGAUGAGAUCUCCCGGGGCACAAGCCCCCUGAAGGAACCAUGUAGACUACGUGGUUGAUAGGUCAGGUGUGUAAGUACAGCAAUGUAUUGAGCUAACUGAUACUAAUGAUCCGUGCGGCUUGACCAU
RNAcentral lists this ribosomal RNA (264 nucleotides) under Stenotrophomonas maltophilia. Its description in RNAcentral is "partial 23S ribosomal RNA". It matches the Rfam family "Bacterial large subunit ribosomal RNA", at positions 2665 to 2925 of the family's 2925-position model. Lineage: Bacteria; Pseudomonadati; Pseudomonadota; Gammaproteobacteria; Lysobacterales; Lysobacteraceae. The record is from RNAcentral.